This 210-nucleotide ribosomal RNA is filed under the name uncultured bacterium. RNAcentral's name for it is "partial 16S ribosomal RNA". It matches the Rfam family "Bacterial small subunit ribosomal RNA", at positions 15 to 214 of the family's 1533-position model. The record is from RNAcentral.
GAUCCUGGCUCAGGAUGAACGCUAGCUACAGGCUUAACACAUGCAAGUCGAGGGGCAGCAUGGUCUUAGCUUGCUAAGGCCGAUGGCGACCGGCGCACGGGUGAGUAACACGUAUCCAACCUGCCGUCUACUCUUGGACAGCCUUCUGAAAGGAAGAUUAAUACAAGAUGGCAUCAUGAGUCCGCAUGUCACAUGUAUAAGUNUCGUAGA